Long non-coding RNA from Suricata suricatta (meerkat), 554 nucleotides. RefSeq lists it as uncharacterized. The transcript has 2 exons. NCBI's taxonomy places the organism in Eukaryota, Metazoa, Chordata, Mammalia, Carnivora, Herpestidae. The record is from RefSeq and is a predicted model, not a curated record.
UAUCACCUCUGUGUUCUGAGCCAUGCUGAUCACGUUCUGCCAUGAUGUGCUGAACAUUUUUAGUGUUCUCUCCUGAGGAGGAGAUGGAGGCUGACUGAAAGCCUAACCCCAUGUAAUGAGAAAUGUGUAUAUGUAUGUAAUCUGAUGCAAGUCUCACCACCAACAGAUUAAAAAAAUCAUGUUUGAAAGAGAAAGAAAUAACACAUAUUUUGGUCACGACCUGGACUAUGGGCACUUCAACUAUUGCUACUGACUGCAUCGUUUCAACUCUCUGCACGAAAUGUCUACCCCCAGGAAAUCCUCAAUCCCCAACAUGGAGGAAAUUGUAAUGGAAAAUCCCAUUACACUGACCUCUGUCAAGGGGGUUUGACUCUAGUAGCAAAAUAACCAUGUACUCAUAUAGUCUUUGCCUCCUAUUAGGUAACAGACAAGACAUAUUUCUGGAUAUAUCUAUGAAGUUCUAGAGGGCUGUUGAGGAUAGAUGCAAGGUCAAAGGCAAACACAGGGUUUGUAAUAAGGAGAAUGGAAAAAUAAAAAUGAAAUGAAUGAAUGAA